Molecule: non-coding RNA, 1152 nt
Filed under: Cavia porcellus (domestic guinea pig)
Lineage: Eukaryota; Metazoa; Chordata; Mammalia; Rodentia; Caviidae
Description: Eukaryotic small subunit ribosomal RNA
Rfam family: Eukaryotic small subunit ribosomal RNA
Source: Rfam by way of RNAcentral
UACUUGGUUGAUCCUGCCAGUAGAAUAUGCUUGUCUCAAAGAUUAAGCCAUGUGUGCCUAGUACGCAUGGCUAGGACAGUCAAACUGUGAAUGGCUCAUUAAAUCAGUUAUGGUGCCUUUGGUCGCUCGCUCCUCUCCUACUUGGAUAACUGUGGUAAUUAUAGAGCUAAUACAUGUCAAUGGGGCUGAGCCCCUUCGCAGGGGGUAUGCUUGCAUUUAUCAGAUCAAAACCAACCCGGGCUUUCUCUUUCGCCCCGGCCCGAGGCGGGUGCCUGUGGCUUUGGUGACUCUAGAUAACCUUGGGGUGAUCGCACCGCCCCCCCCUCCCGUGGCGGCCAUGAAGACCCAUUUGAACAUCUGCCCUAUUUUCGAUGGUUGUCACCGUGCCUACCAUGGUGACCACGGGAGACGGGGAAUCAGGGUUCAAUUCCGGAGAGGGAGCCUGAGAAAUGGCUACCACAUCCAAGGAAGGCAGCAGGCGCGCAAAUAACCCACUCCCGACCUGGGGAGGUAGUGACGAAAAAUAACAAUACAGGACUCUUUCCAGGCCCUGUAAUUGGAAUGAGUCCACUUUAAAUCCUUUCAUGAGGAUCCAUUGGAGGGCAAGUCUGGUGCCAGCAGCUGCGGUAAUUCCAGCUCCAAUAGCAUAUAUUAAAGUUGCUGCAGUUAAAAAGCUCAUAGUUGGCUCUUGGGAGCGAGCAUGCGGUCCACCCCCUGUACCCGCCCCUUGCCUCUCGGCGCACUCUUGAUGCUCUUAGCUGAGUGUCCCACGGAGCCCGAAGCGUUUACUUUGAAAAAAUUAGUAUUCAUAGCAGGCCCGAGCCGCCUGGAUACCGCAGCUAGGAAUAAUGGAAUAGGACCGCGGUUCUAUUUUGUUGGUUUUCGGAAUUGAGGUCAUGAUUAAGAGGGAUGACCGGGGGCAUUCGUAUUGCGCCGUUAGAGGUGAAAUUCUUGGACCUGCGCAAGACAGACCAAAGGGGAAGCAUUUGCCAAGAAUGUUUUCAUUAAUCAAGAAUGAAAGUCAGAGGUUCGAAGACGAUACCGUCGUAGUGCCAACCAUAAACGAUGCCGACUGGCGAUGCGGCGGCGUUAUUCCCAUGACCCGCCAGGCAGCUGCCAGGAAACCAGUUUUUGGGUUCCGGGGGAGUAUGG